UUUCAUCUCAUAUGUAGCAUCAGUAGUAGCACCAGUGACCAGAGGGUACCAGAGGGUUGGGAGUGAGUUUUCAACAGAGUAAUCUCUACUUAUUGGUGAGGAACUAGUGAGUUCUUUGAGGGCCAAGAUUAGAGGUCUGUAUUCUGAGUUCUGGGGAGUGCUAUUCUGUACUUCUUCUACAUCUAGUGGAGUUUUUCAUCGCCGCCCGUGGACGUAAGAGGCCAACCUCCGAACCACGUAAAUCCUUGUGUCUCCGGUUGUGAGUUGUUCAUUUUGUUUCUGUCUUCUAGCUUCCGUGCUAAGUCCAUAUUGGGCUUUCAUCUCUAACAGUUUUACCUUCGAAGCCUCUGAAAAUCGUCUGCAAUCCCCGGCUGACGCUUCGUGUGGGCACUUCAACGAUCUUCGAGCUCUGUGAACCGGCGAGGUUUUCCCCCACACGAGGUUCUUAAUCUGCCUGCAACAUGGCGAGGGGGUGUUAGGAAUCUAGAUGAAGGUGCUCUGCAUCCCAUCACUUGAUUGAAAUUAGGUCGUCCACCAUGUGCUCUGAUGAUGCAUUGCAAGGGAUGAAACUCAAAUAAGGGUCAAGGAAGAUCACAUGCUAGCAAAGAUACCAGGUCCAUGAAGAACGUAACUCUCUUCAAUUGGCUGAACCACCCAUGCUAGCUGGAGCCGUCCGUAGAAUUAAGGUUGAGAACUUAUUGGUUAUUAC
This 709-nucleotide long non-coding RNA is filed under the name Spirodela polyrhiza (greater duckweed). Its description in RNAcentral is "long non-coding RNA (SPOL_LNC000903)". Lineage: Eukaryota; Viridiplantae; Streptophyta; Magnoliopsida; Alismatales; Araceae. The record is from RNAcentral.